AAUAAGCUAAAUAAGAGCGUAUGGGGAAUGCCUAGGCUCUCAGAGGCGAUGAAGGACGUGAUAAGCUGCGAAAAGCUGCGGGGAUUGGCACAUACAAAUUGAUCCGCAGAUAUCCGAAUGGGGCAACCCAGCAUGUUGAAGACAUGUUAUCCGUAAGGAGGCGAACCCGGAGAACUGAAACAUCUAAGUACCCGGAGGAGAAGAAAACAAAAGUGAUUCCGAUAGUAGCGGCGAGCGAACUUGGAAUAGCCCAAACCAGUAUUGUCACGGCAAUACUGGGGUUGUAGGACUGCGAUAUUUGAGCUAUAAUGAAUUAGAACUGUUUGGAAAGACAGGCCAUAGAAAGUGAUAGCCCUGUAUAAGUAAAGAUUAGUAAGAUAGCAGUAUCCUGAGUAGUGCGGGGCACGUGAAACCCUGUAUGAAUUU
RNAcentral lists this ribosomal RNA (426 nucleotides) under uncultured Flavobacteriaceae bacterium. RNAcentral describes it as "bacterial LSU rRNA". It matches the Rfam family "Bacterial large subunit ribosomal RNA", at positions 1 to 445 of the family's 2925-position model. The record is from RNAcentral. Lineage: Bacteria; Pseudomonadati; Bacteroidota; Flavobacteriia; Flavobacteriales; Flavobacteriaceae.